This 527-nucleotide ribosomal RNA is filed under the name uncultured bacterium. Its description in RNAcentral is "bacterial SSU rRNA". It matches the Rfam family "Bacterial small subunit ribosomal RNA", at positions 777 to 1301 of the family's 1533-position model. The record is from RNAcentral.
AAUAGAUACCCUGGUAGUCCAUGCCGUAAACGAUGUCUACUAGCCGUUGGGGCCCUUGAGGCUUUAGUGGCGCAGCUAACGCGAUAAGUAGACCGCCUGGGGAGUACGGUCGCAAGACUAAAACUCAAAUGAAUUGACGGGGGCCCGCACAAGCGGUGGAGCAUGUGGUUUAAUUCGAUGCAACGCGAAGAACCUUACCUGGCCUUGACAUACAGAGAACUUUCCAGAGAUGGAUUGGUGCCUUCGGGAACUCUGAUACAGGUGCUGCAUGGCUGUCGUCAGCUCGUGUCGUGAGAUGUUGGGUUAAGUCCCGCAACGAGCGCAACCCUUUUCCUUAUUUGCCAGCACUUCGGGGUGGGAACUUUAAGGAUACUGCCAGUGACAAACUGGAGGAAGGCGGGGACGACGUCAAGUCAUCAUGGCCCGUUACGGCCAGGGCUACACACGUGCUACAAUGGUCGGUACAAAGGGUUGCUACUGCGCGAGCAGAUGCUAAUCUCAAAAACGCCGAUCGUAGUCCGGAUCGC